Molecule: ribosomal RNA, 253 nt
Filed under: uncultured bacterium
Lineage: Bacteria
Description: partial 16S ribosomal RNA
Rfam family: Bacterial small subunit ribosomal RNA
Source: RNAcentral
UACGAAGGGGGCUAGCGUUGCUCGGAAUUACUGGGCGUAAAGCGCACGUAGGCGGCUUUCUAAGUCGGGGGUGAAAUCCUGGAGCUCAACUCCAGAACUGCCUUCGAUACUGGAGAGCUUGAGUCCGGGAGAGGUGAGUGGAACUGCGAGUGUAGAGGUGAAAUUCGUAGAUAUUCGCAAGAACACCAGUGGCGAAGGCGGCUCACUGGCCCGGUACUGACGCUGAGGUGCGAAAGCAUGGGGAGCGAACAGG